RNAcentral lists this long non-coding RNA (446 nucleotides) under Lathyrus oleraceus (garden pea). RNAcentral describes it as "Pisum sativum (pea) long non-coding RNA (PSAT_LNC037286)". The record is from RNAcentral. Lineage: Eukaryota; Viridiplantae; Streptophyta; Magnoliopsida; Fabales; Fabaceae.
AUUGGAACAAGGGUUUUUUUUUUUUUUUUUUGGUCUUUUGGGUUGUAACGGGGCUUUGGUUUAUGUAGGGUAUGAAAUUUGAACAAAAGUUUUUUGGUUCAGAGUAUAUGAAAUCAUUCUCUCACUACGUUUCUUUCCUAUUAUUCCUGUAGGGCUUUGUAAUCCUCUUUUCCUUUUUUCUAUAGUGAAUGUAGCAUUUUUCAAAAGCUGUUCUUUUAUUGUUUUUCGCUUUUCUCUUUCUUUCUUUUCAUGUUGUUGUUGUUUUUCUUUCUCUUUUUUUUUUUAUAUAUAUACUACAUUCACUUGCUAUUCACUUACUGCAAAGCUACCCCAAACUUAAAGGUUGUUAUUCCAACAGCAACCCCAAACUCAGAUAGAAACGUAGAGAUGAAAUCAAUCCUCACAUACUCUGAACAGGGUAGGAUAGUUACAAGGUCAUGGGUGUU